RNAcentral lists this ribosomal RNA (497 nucleotides) under uncultured bacterium. RNAcentral describes it as "partial 16S ribosomal RNA". It matches the Rfam family "Bacterial small subunit ribosomal RNA", at positions 28 to 507 of the family's 1533-position model. The record is from RNAcentral.
GAUGAACGCUGGCGGCGUGCCUAAUACAUGCAAGUCGAGCGAACGGACGAGAAGCUUGCUCCUCUGACGUUAGCGGCGGACGGGUGAGUAACACGUGGAUAACCUACCUAUAAGACUGGGAUAACUUCGGGAAACCGGAGCUAAUACCGGAUAAUAUAUUGAACCGCAUGGUUCAAAAGUGAAAGACGGUUUUGCUGUCACUUAUAGAUGGAUCCGCGCUGCAUUAGCUAGUUGGUAAGGUAACGGCUUACCAAGGCAACGAUGCAUAGCCGACCUGAGAGGGUGAUCGGCCACACUGGAACUGAGACACGGUCCAGACUCCUACGGGAGGCAGCAGUAGGGAAUCUUCCGCAAUGGGCGAAAGCCUGACGGAGCAACGCCGCGUGAGUGAUGAAGGUCUUCGGAUCGUAAAACUCUGUUAUUAGGGAAGAACAUAUGUGUAAGUAACUAUGCACAUCUUGACGGUACCUAAUCAGAAAGCCACGGCUAACUACGUG